Molecule: ribosomal RNA, 442 nt
Filed under: uncultured bacterium
Lineage: Bacteria
Description: partial 16S ribosomal RNA
Rfam family: Bacterial small subunit ribosomal RNA
Source: RNAcentral
CCUACGGGUGGCAGCAGUGGGGAAUAUUGGGCAAUGGGCGCAAGCCUGACCCAGCAACGCAGCGUGAAGGAAGAAGGCUUUAGGGGUGUAAACUUCUUUUAAGAGGGAAGAGAAGAAGACGGUACCUCUUGAAUAAGCUACGGCUAACUACGUGCCAGCAGCCGCGGUAAUACGUAGGUGGCAAGUGUUGUCCGGAUUUAGUGGGUGUAAAGGGCGUGUAGCCGGGUUGACAAGUCAGUGGUGAAAUUCAGGGACUCAACCCAGGACCUGCAUUUGAAACUGUUAGUCUUGAGUAUCGGAGAGGCAGGCGGAAUUCCUGGUGUAGCGGUGAAAUGCGUAGAUAUUAGGAAGAACACCGGUGGCGAAGGCAGCCUGCUGGACGGCAACUGACAGUGAGGCGCGAAAGCGUGGGGAGCAAACAGGAUUAGAUACCCUAGUAGUC